RNAcentral lists this ribosomal RNA (433 nucleotides) under uncultured bacterium. RNAcentral's name for it is "partial 16S ribosomal RNA". It matches the Rfam family "Bacterial small subunit ribosomal RNA", at positions 29 to 507 of the family's 1533-position model. The record is from RNAcentral.
AACGAACGCUGGCGGCAUGCCUAACACAUGCAAGUCGAACGAGACCUUCGGGUCUAGUGGCGCACGGGUGCGUAACGCGUGGGAACCUGCCCUUAGGUUCGGAAUAACUCCCCGAAAGGGGUGCUAAUACCGGAUAAUGUCUUCGGACCAAGGAUUUAUCGCCUUUGGAUGGGCCCGCGUUGGAUUAGCUAGUUGGUAGGGUAAAAGCCUACCAAGGCGACGAUCCAUAGCUGGUCUGAGAGGAUGAUCAGCCACACUGGGACUGAGACACGGCCCAGACUCCUACGGGAGGCAGCAGUGGGGAAUAUUGGACAAUGGGCGAAAGGCUGAUCCAGCAAUGCCGCGUGAGUGAUGAAGGCCGUAGGGUUGUAAAGCUCUUUUACCCGGGAUGAUAAUGACAGUACCGGGAGAAUAAGCUCCGGCUAACUCCGUG